AUCCUGGCUCAGGAUGAACGCUAGCGGCGCGCUUACCGUAUGCAAGUCGAACGAUGAGGUCCCUACGGGGGUACAUCCCUGGCAGACGGGUGAGUAACACGUAGGUAACCUGCCCUCGAGACGGGGAUAUCGGCUGGAAACGGUCGCUAAGACCCGAUAUAGUCUGACCUUCGGGAGAAGGUGAGAGGAAAGGCUUCGGUGCUCGGGGAGGGGCCUGCGGCCCAUCAGCUAGUUGGAGAGGUAACGGCUCCCCAAGGCAAUGACGGGUAGGGGGUGUGAGAGCAUGGCCCCCCCACUGGGACUGAGACACGGCCCAGACUCCUACGGGAGGCAGCAGCAGGGAAUAUUGGGCAUUGAACGGAAGUCUGACGCACCGACGCCCCGUGGAUGACGAGGGCCUUCGGGGUGGGAAUCCUUUUCCCGGGCGAUUGAAGAAGGGACCUAGCCUUGGGAAUAAGCGGCCGGGUUAACUUCGUGGCCAGCAGCCGCGGUAAGACGUAGGACGCGAGCGUUAUCCGGAUUUACUGGGCGUAAAGCGCCUGCAGGCGGUCAGGUAAGUCGGUUGUGAAAGCCCCGUGCUCAACGCGGGGAGGCCAAGCGAUACUGCGUGACUUGAGGGCGGAAGAGGGGAGUGGAAUUCCCGGUGUAGCGGUAAAAUGCGCAGAUAUCGGGAGGAACACCAGUGGCGAAGGCGGCUCCCUGGACCGCACCUGACGCUCAGAGGCGAAAGCUAGGGGAGCGAACAGGAUUAGAGACCCUGGUAGUCCUAGCCCUAAACGCUGGAUGCUAGGUGUAGGGCUGAUGAGGCUCUGUGCCGGAGCGAACGCGAUAAGCAUCCCGCCUGGGAACUACGGCCGCAAGGCUAAAACUCAAACGAAUUGACGGGGACCCGCACAAGCAGCGGAGCGUGUGGUUUAAUUCGAUGCUACACGAAGAACCUUACCUGGGUUUGACAUGUUGGUGGUACCGAACCGAAAGGGGAGGGACCCUUCGGGGAGCCAACACAGGUGCUGCAUGGCUGUCGUCAGCUCGUGCCGUGAGGUGUCGGGUUAAGUCCCGUAACGAGCGCAACCCUUGCUCUUAGUUAUACGUGUCUAAGGGGACUGCCGGCGACAAGCCGGAGGAAGGUGGGGAUGACGUCAAGUCAGCAUGGCCUUGAUAUCCAGGGCUACACACACGCUACAAUGGCCGGUACAAAGGGCAGCCAAGCCGCGAGGUGGAGCGAAUCCCAGCAAAGCCGGUCCCAGUUCGGAUUGCAGGCUGCAACCCGCCUGCAUGAAGUUGGAGUUGCUAGUAACCGCGCGUCAGCCAUAGUGCGGUGAAUACGUACCCGGGUCUUGCA
This 1342-nucleotide ribosomal RNA is filed under the name uncultured Chloroflexota bacterium. RNAcentral describes it as "bacterial SSU rRNA". It matches the Rfam family "Bacterial small subunit ribosomal RNA", at positions 16 to 1385 of the family's 1533-position model. Lineage: Bacteria; Bacillati; Chloroflexota. The record is from RNAcentral.